Molecule: unclassified non-coding RNA, 353 nt
Filed under: soil metagenome
Description: partial contains 5.8S ribosomal RNA, internal transcribed spacer 2, and large subunit ribosomal RNA
Rfam family: 5.8S ribosomal RNA (bases 1-120)
Source: RNAcentral
GAUGAAGAACGCAGCGAAAUGCGAUAAGUAAUGUGAAUUGCAGAAUUCAGUGAAUCAUCGAGUUUUUGAACGCAUAUUGCGCCCUCUGGUAUUCUGGCGGGCAUGCCUGUCCGAGCGUCAUUUCAACCCUCGAACCCCUCCGGGGGGUCGGCGUUGGGGAUCGGCCCUUUCACCGGGUGCCGUCCCCCAAAUACAGUGGCGGUCUCGCCGCAGCCUCUCAUGCGCAGUAGUUUGCACACUCGCACCGGGAGCGCGGCGCGUCCACGUCCGUAAAACACCCCAAACUUCUGAAAUGUUGACCUCGGAUCAGGUAGGAAUACCCGCUGAACUUAAGCAUAUCAAUAAGCGAAGGA